GACGAACGCUGGCGGCGUGCCUAACACGUGCAAGUUGAGCGACGAACCAGGGCUUGCCCUGGGGCAAAGCAGCGAACGGGUGAGUAACACGUGGGUAACCUACCCCGAUAACCGGGACAACCCGAGGAAACUCGGGCUAAUACCGGAUGUGCUCACUGAACUUCGGUUCAGUGCGUAAAGGAAGCUUCGGCCUCCGUACCGGGAGGGGCCCGCGGCCCAUUAGUUUGUUGGUGAGGUAACGGCUCACCAAGACCGCGAUGGGUAGCUGGUCUGAGAGGACGAUCAGCCACACUGGGACUGAGACACGGCCCAGACUCCUACGGGAGGCAGCAGUGGGGAAUCUUGCGCAAUGCGCGAAAGCGUGACGCAGCAACGCCGCGUGGGGGAAGAAGGCCUUCGGGUUGUAAACCCCUUUCAGGAGGGACGAAGGUCCGGCGGUGAAUAGCCGUCCGGACUGACGGUACCUCCACAAGAAGCCCCGGCUAACUACGAGCCAGCAGCAGCCGCCG
Molecule: ribosomal RNA, 509 nt
Filed under: uncultured bacterium
Lineage: Bacteria
Description: partial 16S ribosomal RNA
Rfam family: Bacterial small subunit ribosomal RNA
Source: RNAcentral